This 253-nucleotide ribosomal RNA is filed under the name uncultured bacterium. RNAcentral's name for it is "partial 16S ribosomal RNA". It matches the Rfam family "Bacterial small subunit ribosomal RNA", at positions 524 to 776 of the family's 1533-position model. The record is from RNAcentral.
UACGUAGGUGGCAAGCGUUGUCCGGAAUUACUGGGUGUAAAGGGCGUGUAGGCGGGGAUGCAAGUCAGAUGUGAAAUCCUGGGGCUCAACCCCAGAGCUGCAUCUGAAACUGCAACUCUUGAGUGCUGGAGAGGAAAGCGGAAUUCCUAGUGUAGCGGUGAAAUGCGUAGAUAUUAGGAGGAACACCAGUGGCGAAGGCGGCUUUCUGGACAGUAACUGACGCUGAGGCGCGAAAGCGUGGGGAGCGAACAGG